This 207-nucleotide long non-coding RNA is filed under the name Solanum tuberosum (potato). RNAcentral describes it as "long non-coding RNA (STUB_LNC001094)". The record is from RNAcentral. Lineage: Eukaryota; Viridiplantae; Streptophyta; Magnoliopsida; Solanales; Solanaceae.
AAGAAAUCGUUUUGCAAAGCUUUGUUACUUCAACAACUAAGGAAACUAAUUCAAAUUAGAAUUGAUCUUUAUGUAGUUAGAUGUUGAAAUUAUUGUCUUUUGAUAUACUUUGAUUUGAAUUUCAUUUGAGUGAGACCAAAUCAUUUGAUUUAUUAUUAAAUUGUUGAAAGUAUUUAUUGUAUAUUACUAUUACUUUCUUCUUUGGUU